ACCAUUUCCGGUUUCCAGUUUCAUUCUAUUUUCACUCCCCAUAGAAAUGCACCAGUUUUCAACUGUAGACCCAAACGAAUCAUCAAGAAGUUGCAGAUCCCUUCGCCUACUCGCAUAUCAGCUUUAACUGCUUGCCCUAGACCUCUUUCCACAAUGCGGGUACUUGUCUAAGUUGGGUAGCUUUCAUACUUGGAUGCUGAAAAUCCCAAAUUUAAAUCAUCUUACCUUCGAAUGGAGUUUACCGAGCCUUACAAGCAGAGCGGGCCGUGUUCUUUCUCGCCCAAUGCUCGGUUUAUUGCUGUCGCAGUCGAUUACCGUCUCGUGAUUCGCGAUGUACUCACACUCAAGGUGGUGCAGCUGUAUUCAUGCUUGGAUAAGAUUACAUACAUUGAAUGGGCUCUGGAUUCUGAGUACAUACUUUGUGGUCUCUACAAGAGACCAAUGAUACAGGCGUGGUCGUUGACGCAACCUGACUGGACGUGUAAGAUAGACGAGGGGCCUGCUGGUAUUACUUAUGCAAGAUGGAGUCCAGACAGUCGCCACAUACUUACAACAUCUGAAUUUCAGCUCAGGUUGACUGUGUGGUCACUCUUGAACACGGCAUGCAUACAUGUCCAGUGGCCAAAGCAUGGCUCUAAGGGGGUCUCGUUCACCAAAGACGGAAAAUUUGCUGCAGUUUGUACGAGGCGUGAUUGCAAAGAUUAUGUCAAUCUGCUCUCUUGCCAUACGUGGGAGAUAAUUAGUGUCUUUGCUGUUGACACGUUGGAUUUGGCGGAUAUUCAGUGGUCACCUGAUGACAGUGCAAUAGUGAUAUGGGAUUCUUCUUUGGAGUACAAGAUUUUGAUAUAUUCCCCAGACGGGCGUUGUCUUUCCAAAUAUCAAGCAUAUGAAAGUGGACUAGGUGUCAAAAGUGUUGCAUGGUCCCCUUGUAGCCAGUUUCUAGCAGUAGGAAGUUAUGAUCAGAUGCUGAGGGUUUUGAACCACUUGACAUGGAAAGUAUUUGCAGAAUUUACACACCUAUCGACUGUACGUGCACCUUGUUCUGCUGCUGUUUUCAAGGAGGUGGAUGAGCCCUUGCAACUUGAUAUGUCGGAAUUAACAUUAAGUGAUGAUCUUGUGCCUCAAAGUGGUGAUGAUGCUCCUGAAACACGAAUUGAAGUUAGGUAUGAUGUGAUGGAACUGCCAAUCAAUCUACCUUGCCAGAAACCUCCAGCAGAUAAACCAAAUCCCAAGCAAGGAAUCGGUCUCGUAUCAUGGAGCAGUGACAGCCUGUACAUCUGUACUCGCAAUGACAGCAUGCCCACUGUCCUCUGGAUAUGGGAUGUACAGCAUCUUGAGCUUGCUGCCAUCUUAAUCCAAAAAGAUCCUGUUCGAGCAGCUGCCUGGGAUCCAAUAUGCACACGAUUGAUUUUAUGCACAGGCAGCUCCCACUUAUACAUGUGGACACCUUCGGGUGCCUAUUGUAUAAAUGUUCCUCUAACCGAUUCCUCUGUAACUGACCUGAAAUGGAAUUUUGAUGGAAGCUGUCUCCUUCUCAAGGACAAGGAAUUUUUCUGCUGUGCCGCUGUGCCCAUGUUACAAGAAUCCAGUGAUUAUAGUUCAGAUGAUUGAUGGCGUUUGGAUUGCGAACUGGGUAGUGUCAUUCUAUGGAUUCGGUGGUAUUGCUUGAUAUAUUAUUGUAAAGGAUGAGGAUGUAAAGGCUGAAUACCAGUGGCAUUUACCGUUAUGAUCGAAUUAGGGUGGCACGUGGACUAAUAGCUGAUCGAGAUUAGAAUUUUACUGCGAUCCCUAUUGGCCAAAUAACGUACACAUUGCUUAAGAAAAACAGCUUACUAUAAGAUGAUGAUGGUAGUAACUUCCGACUAUAUUUUUCCUCAAUUAAGUGAAAAGGUGCUUUCUAGCUAAAUCGGAACGAGUCCUAAUGCUGUUAAAAGUUUCGCAGCGUAUACUGCGAAACUUUAUACCCCUUUGAAAAAAAUAAUCACUGGUAAAAAAAAAUAUAAGAAUUAAACCAUCCUCAUUUUGUGCCAAUAUUCUGGAUAGCAAAGUCAAAAGUAUUCAGAUAACAUGUGAAAGAAGGAAGACGAACGAUUUGAACUCGGAAGUCUUCAGAUCAUGAGCAUGUGGAGGUUAUUAAAGAGGUACGUUCCGAAAACCCACAUGAAGUGAGAGAUCCUAUUGCAGCAACGGGGAAGAUAAAAAGCUCCUAAAACAGCAAGCUUGCCCAGGCACCAAUAAAUGCGAAUCCACCAAAAGGAGCCAUGGUAGCAUACUUUCUGUCUUCAAGGUAGGCAACGGCAUAACACGUCCCAGAGAAGGCCAGAAUUCCAGUCGUCAAAAGUGCCCCAAAAAUGUUAGGGCGAGUGGUCGUAGGAGCAGCCAGAAGGGCUGCUGUAUGAACCAAAUGGUAUAGGGAUGCUGUAUACCAAACCUCUUUGUAAGCAGGAUUUUUGGGCUUGAAGGCAUGAAAACCGUAGGUUCCCAACCCAAGCGCUGCCAUACCGGAGAUGGCAGCAAUUUUGUGCCAGAGACGAGGAUCCAUUACCUCAAUCGGCUUCAUCUUUGAUUUUGACGGAUGAAUUUAUUGACUUUCCUGUUUAGACUUUAGAGUGCCGUAUUGGGUUAAUUCCUUUUUGUCAACUGAAGCAUCAUAAGUUCAUAACAAGAAUGGUGAUCUACCCCGAUAAGACACUGAAGAAACUAAGCAAAUUUUAAUAUUAUGUGUCUGCUUGACUC
Molecule: RNA transcript, 2736 nt
Organism: Coffea arabica (coffee)
Lineage: Eukaryota; Viridiplantae; Streptophyta; Magnoliopsida; Gentianales; Rubiaceae
Source: RefSeq, a predicted model, not a curated record